UACAGAAGCAGGCAAAGACACAGAAAGAUCACCAGAAACUUCUGCUGUUUACAAAAACUACUGAAAGAGAAUCCAUCUAUCCAGAACGGUCAGAAUGAGGUGCUUUUGUGUGGUCAUCUGGAUUCUUCUCUCGGAAGUGGCUGCUGAGGCGCCAGAUAUCAGAGUGGCAGGACAUGUUGGAGGAUCAGUGAAGAUCCAGUGUCCUCACCUGUUAGCUAAAACCAACACAAAGUAUUUCUGCAGGUAUCCGUGUAUAAAAAAUCAGGACAUGUUGAUUAAAUCUGGUCAGUCACUUACUGGAAGAUACACACUGGAGGAUUCAGGCAAUGGAGACAUCACUGUGACCAUCAUUGACCUCCAGAAAUCAGACGCUGGAACUUACUGGUGUGGAGUGGAGAGAUUACUAAUGAUGGACACGUAUCAUGAGGUGCUCCUCACAGUCACAGAUGCUCCCUCCACCCACAAACACCCACCCAAAGCUACUCCAACAGCAGCUGCUGUAAGAACAGUGAGAUUUAAGUUCUUCACCACCUCUUCAUCCACUCUCCCUCCCUCCAUCACCCACCAUCCACCAUCUCCUCCUCCUCUGCACCUAAACCAACAUUUCCAGCUCAGCACUCACUCAACAUCUCAUCACCUACCAGAGAGAUUCUACUGUAUGUUGCUGCUGGACUUGUCACUGUGAUUGUAUUCAGCAUCGCUGCUGUAAUCUACACUGGUAGAGGACCAAAAAGACGAUCUAAACUUCAAAGUGAUCUCAUCUCAGCGAUGUCCUCCACUGCUGGUCUAGAAGAAGAAGAUCUACACUCACACGUCUGCUUUACUGUCAUCAACUGCUCUGCUGGCUUCACCUCAGAGACUCUCAACAACCAAGCUUUGGACAACCUGCUGUACUCCACAGAGAAAGGACUACUCACACAUGUGAUCUACAGCUUAGACAGAUAAUCAUUCAUCUUUCACCACAGUGAAGAACUGCAAUAGAAGAGAAAUAAAAAAUAAACAUCAAGAACAUCCGCUAGCUCCAUUAUGAUUAAAAAAUAAUCAAAUUUGAAUUCCUGGAAAUGGUCA
Molecule: RNA transcript, 1068 nt
Organism: Pygocentrus nattereri (red-bellied piranha)
Lineage: Eukaryota; Metazoa; Chordata; Actinopteri; Characiformes; Serrasalmidae
Gene name: CMRF35-like molecule 8
Exons: 5
Source: RefSeq, a predicted model, not a curated record